Molecule: ribosomal RNA, 497 nt
Filed under: uncultured bacterium
Lineage: Bacteria
Description: partial 16S ribosomal RNA
Rfam family: Bacterial small subunit ribosomal RNA
Source: RNAcentral
GAUGAACGCUGGCGGCGUGCCUAAUACAUGCAAGUCGAGCGAACGGACGAGAAGCUUGCUUCUCUGAUGUUAGCGGCGGACGGGUGAGUAACACGUGGAUAACCUACCUAUAAGACUGGGAUAACUUCGGGAAACCGGAGCUAAUACCGGAUAAUAUUUUGAACCGCAUGGUUCAAAAGUGAAAGACGGUCUUUCUGUCACUUAUAGAUGGAUCCGCGCUGCAUUAGCUAGUUGGUAAGGUAACGGCUUACCAAGGCAACGAUGCAUAGCCGACCUGAGAGGGUGAUCGGCCACACUGGAACUGAGACACGGUCCAGACGCCUACGGGAGGCAGCAGUAGGGAAUCUUCCGCAAUGGGCGAAAGCCUGACGGAGCAACGCCGCGUGAGUGAUGAAGGUCUUCGGAUCGUAAAACUCUGUUAUUAGGGAAGAACAUAUGUGUAAGUAACUGUGCACAUCUUGACGGUACCUAAUCAGAAAGCCACGGCUAACUACGUG